UUGACAUGUCUGGAAUCCUGUAGAGAUACGGGAGUGCUUCGGGAAUCAGAACACAGGUGCUGCAUGGAUCUGUCGUCGCUCGUGUCGUGAGAUGUUGGGUUAAGUGCCGCAACGAGCGCAACCCUUGUCCUUAGUUGCCAGCACGUAAUGGUGGGAACUCUAAGGAGACUGCCGGUGACAAACCGGAGGAAGGUGGGGAUGACGUCAAGUCAUCAUGGCCCUUACGGCCAGGGCUACACACGUACUACAAUGGUCGGUACAGAGGGUUGCAAUACCGCGAGUGGAGCCAAUCCCAGUAAAG
This 301-nucleotide ribosomal RNA is filed under the name uncultured Frateuria sp. RNAcentral describes it as "bacterial SSU rRNA". It matches the Rfam family "Bacterial small subunit ribosomal RNA", at positions 981 to 1281 of the family's 1533-position model. Lineage: Bacteria; Pseudomonadati; Pseudomonadota; Gammaproteobacteria; Lysobacterales; Rhodanobacteraceae. The record is from RNAcentral.